UUCAAUAUGUUGGAUAUUUCUGCCUCUUCCUUUGUUGUAAAAUUCAGUGUAUUUUGUUAAUGAGUACUCCUGUAUAUCAAGGGUUACAUAUAUUCUAGUUAAAUUGGCACAUGAGACUACUUAAAAAAGAUAACCCAGUGUUUCUGUGAAGAAAAUAUACCAUGAACAAGAAUAUCCUUCAGUUGACAAUUGAAUCCACUGCAGCCUGGUUCCUUAGGCCUGCUGCUGAGUGGGAAUAUCAUUUAGAAUAUUUAGACAUGGCUAUUAUCUAGGCUCAUGAAGAGAGUGUAUGGCAUGCGUCUGUGUAGUUAUCCCAAAAUAUUAAAAGCCUUCUUAGAAAGGAGUCAACGCUGGUGAGGGUUCCCAGCUUCAAGGAGAUUCCAGUGGACAUGACGCCCAAUCUGCAGGAGCGUCUCAACGGGAUCACAGAGGUCCUUUCCCGCAUAUCAAAGCUGGUGACGGAAGACCUGGAGAAGGCUGUGAGCACUGUGGUCGGCCUGGACAAACAAGGUUCCCCCCAGGACAAGCUCCCUGUCCUGGCCGUGGUUCCCAGCCCGGCCGCUCGAUGCCACCCUGGAGGGAAGGAGGGCCUCAACCACCUGGGGGAGCACACACACCCCCAGGUCUUUAUUGCAGUGGCUGGCUGAAGACUGGCCCCAUCGGGGUCAUUGCCAUCACCAUAAACAACAGCUUCGACAGAGCACACAGCGUCGUGGAGGACGUCACCUCACCUCUGGCUGCCUGGACGUGACCUCUGCCAAGCCUGGAUCCACGGGGAUCCCCCUGCUGGACAAGAGAGGCGUGAAGCCGGUGUCCUUCUCGGACUGGGAGAAGAUCAACCAGGAGGAGAGGAGGAGGGGCGCGGCCCAGGGGAAACCCCGGGAGAAGCUUCUGGACGUAGAGGAGACCGCCCGGACCUGAACCCCAAAGUUACCUUCUAUUUCUGAAGACUCUUUCAUAACGUGGAGAACCAUCGCAAUGGAGAUUCAACACAGUUUACCACAAGAAUAAGAUGGCAUGAAACCAUGGACUGUGUUGUAAUGCAGACCAAAAUAAGACAGUCAAUACAAAAAAAACUAUUUAUUAUAUUAACAUGUCGUCCAGCGGUAGCUCCAGAUGUGUUUGUCUGUGGGGCUCAGUAGAUGCCGUAGGUGUGCUCCUUGCCCUCACGGUAGCGGUCCAGGUAGCGGAGCGGCUGCCUGUGGGGGAACUUGACCUGCGCCGGGUGGUACACGGGGGGCCGCACAAACUCAAACACCGGCUCCUUCAUGUCUGCAGGAAGAAGAACACCAGUGGACAGUUUAAUGUUAAUGGAUAUAUCCUCCAAACAUCACAAUUGUACUCUUUUUAAAUAAUAAAAUUCAAUUUUAAUUUA
Molecule: RNA transcript, 1375 nt
Organism: Gadus chalcogrammus (walleye pollock)
Lineage: Eukaryota; Metazoa; Chordata; Actinopteri; Gadiformes; Gadidae
Gene name: NADPH:adrenodoxin oxidoreductase, mitochondrial-like
Exons: 5
Source: RefSeq, a predicted model, not a curated record